This is a non-coding RNA of Monodelphis domestica (gray short-tailed opossum), 37363 nucleotides long. NCBI's taxonomy places the organism in Eukaryota, Metazoa, Chordata, Mammalia, Didelphimorphia, Didelphidae. The record is from RefSeq and is a predicted model, not a curated record.
GGAGGAGCUUCCGGGAGGGAGGGAGAGAGGAGGUGUGUGUGAGAGAGUUUGUACUGUGUGUAAUACUUUGUGUUUCUUGUUUUGUGACGUGUGUGGGUUUUUUUAUUAUGAUGUAAAUGUAUCUGUAUAUGCUUUGUAUAUAUGUACAGUGUGUAUGUGUGUUGGUCUGUCCCUUUGGACUGAGUGUGUAUACUUUGUGAGUAUUACUUUUUUUUCCUGUGUUUUUUUUAGUGUGGUAUGUGUAUCCACUCAGGGUGUCUGUAUAUGCUUUGUGUAUGUGUGUGUGUGUGUGUGUGUGUGUGUGUGUAUCAGUUAGGGUUGUGUGUGUAUUUUGUGAGUGUUGCUUGUUUUUUGUGUGGUUUGUGUAUGUGUGUGGUGUAUAUUCACUCAGGAUGUAUGUAUGUGUGUGGUAUUUAUGUUGUGUCUAUGUAUGUCAGCUUGCACUAACUGUAUUCUUUCUGGGUGUUCCUCUUUUUUGGUGCAUGUGUGUUUUUGGUGUGGUGUAUAUAUAUAUAUAAAUAAAUGUAUACAUACACAUAUACAUACACAUAUACAUACACACAUACACAUACAUACACGUAUACAUAUACAUGCAUGCAUGUAUAUCCACACAGGGUGUCUCUAUAUGCUUUGUAUGUUUGUAGUAUUUGUGGGUGUGUCAGUUUGGACUGAGAGUGUGUACUUUGAGAAUGUUGCUUGUUUUGUGUAGGUGUGUUUUUUGUUGUGGUGGUGUAUGUAUCCACUCAAGGUGUCUGUAUAUGCUUUGUAUGUAUGUAGCAUGUGUGACUUAGGACUGAGUAUGUAUACUUUGUGAGUGUUGAUUGUUUUGUGUGUGUUUUGUUUGUGUGUGGUGUGUAUAUCCACUCAAGAUGUAUGUAUGUGCUUUGUAUGUAUACAGUAUGUAUGUAUCUGUGUCUGUGUGGGUCAGCUUAGAUUGAGUAUUUAUACUUUGUGAGUGUUGAUUGUCGUGUGUGUGUGUGUGUGUGUGUGUGUGUGUGUGUGUGGUGUGUAUUUGUUCCACUCAAGGUGUCUGUAUAUGCCUUGUAUGUAUGUAGUGUGUGAAUGUGUCAGUGUGGAUUGAGUAUCUAUACUUUUUGAGUGUUGUUCAUUCUGAGUGUGUUCUUGGUGUGGUGUGUAUAUCCACUCAAGAUGUCUGUAUAUGCUUUGUAUGUAGUAUGUGUCUUUCAGUUUAGUGUAUACUUUGGGAGUGUUGCUUGUUUUGUGUAUUUUUUGCGUGGUGUGUAUUUCAACUCAAGGUAUCCAUAUGCUUUGUAUGUAUGUAUUGUGUAUGUGUGUUUGUGGAUUUAGUGUGUAUACUUUUUGAGUGUUGCUCAUUUUUUUGGUGUGGUGUGUGUAUCCACUCAGGGUGUCUGUAUUUGCUUUGUAUGUAUGUAGUAUGUGUUUACAUGUAGGUGUCAGUUUGGAAUGUGUAUAUUUUGUAAAUGUUGCUUGUUUUGUGUAUUUUGUGUGUGGUGUAUCUUUCAACUCAAGGUGUCUAUAUGCUUUGUAUGUAUGUAGUGUGUAUGUGUAAGUGUGGAUUGAAUAUAUAUACUUUGGGAAUGUUCCUCAUUGUGUGUAUGUGUGUGUGUUUUGGUUGUGGCUUGUGUGUCCAAUCAAGGUGUCUAUAUAUGCUUUGUAUGUAUAUAGUGUCUGAAUGUUUGUAUAAGUGUGUGCAUGUGUAGGUCAGUUUGGACCCAGUAUAUACACUUUGUGAGUGUUGCUUUUUUGUGUGUGUGGUUUUUUUGGUUUGUUUAUCUACUAAAGGUACCUCUGUAUGCUUUGUAUAUAUGUAGUGUGUGUGUGUGUGUGUGUGUGUGUGUGCGCGUGUGUAUCUGUCAGGAUUGAGUGUGUAUACUUUGUGAGUGUUUCUUGGUUUGUGUGUGUGGUUUUUUGUUGUUGUGGUGUUUGUAUCCAAUCUGAGUGUCUGUAUAUGCUUUGUAUGUAUGUAGUAUGUGUAUGUGUAUUGGUGUGUCAGUUUGGAAUGCAUAUGUGUAUUUUGUAAAUGUUGCUUGUUUUGUGUGUGUGUGUUUGUGUGUUUAUCCAUUCUGAGUGUGUGACAUCUUGGGAUGUUGUGUGUUUUUGUAGGUUGUGCUUCUGUGUGAUGGACUGAGAAAGAGCUGCAAAAUGGCAGAAGUGACCCAACAUUCAUGGCAGUUGGCCUGCUGCCUUACUUCCCUGAGUAUGGGGCAGGGAGGGGAUUUUUUUGGCCUGGCCACAUACAUGUCAGGUCCCAAACAGUAUGUGGACCACGACUCCAGACUCCCAGGCUAGCCUCUCCUAGCUUUAGGGUUGGGAGGGGGGAGGGGGGGUGCCUUGGCUUCUGGAUAAGAGCCCCACCCACCUCCCUUAAUUUCAGGCUGGAAUCCCCAUGCUGACAUCAUUGAUUGAGUCAUUGGGUUCUUGCAGGGAAUGCAGAUGCUCUCUUGUCUAAUCCCUUCAGUUUAUGAAUGAGGGAACUGAGGCCUUGGGUAGUCCUUCUGACAUUAAGCCUUAAAUUACUUUGUAUAUAUUUAGUGUUAGUGUGCCCACACCCCCUCCCCCUCUGUAAAAUGCAAUCCCUUUGAGAACAGGGAUUGUUUCUGUGUUUGUUGCCCCCUGUGCCCAGCACAGUGCUUGACACAUAAUAGGUACUUUGUAUGAAAACUUGGUGCAUGCACCAGUGAAAGUGAUUUGUCUCAGGUCCCACAGGUUGGAAAAAAUGGCCAAGGCAGAAUCAACAUGUGAGUCUCCUGACAGAAGAUCUCAGGAUCUCCGUCAAUCGAUUGCAGACAUUCAUGAGAGCUUCCUGUCACCUGUUGGAUUCGUACUGAACUUCACUGGCAAAGUGUGGAUGAGUUGAUAUGGAAAGAGUACAUUCUGUUACCUGAUAGAUAAACCCCCCACAGAUUCAAAUUAGGGACCAAAUCUUCUCCCCCUUGCCCUGGAUAUUCCAGUGUUUGUGUGCACACAGAACAAACAAUUCACUAUGAAGGGAUAUUACCCACUGUAAAAGAUCUGGUCCUGCCUUGCUGAGCACAACAUUCCUUUCUACUGUAGACAGAACUUAGAGUCUGGAGUUAUAGAGUUUGGGUUCAAAUCCUGCCUCUGAUGCUUUUCACCAAUGACAAUUUGAACAAGUCCCUCAGAUUUUCUGGGCCUCAGUUUCCAGAGCUGAGGUCCUUCCCAGCUCUAGAUUUGUGACCCUAUGAUUUUACAUAUGAAUUCUUUAAAAUCAUGAAGCUAUAGCAUUUUAGAAAUGGGCCAGGCCCCAGGCCUUUAAAUACCUCAUGCAGUUUGAGAGAAUUGUGGAUCUACUGGAUAGAUAUUUUUUGAAAAUUAGGUGCAUCUCCAUACCUGAAUACUACAAAAAUUAACACCUUUCUCUCCUUAUCCAUCUAGGAGUUGGAAAAGUAAGGGUCCUGCUUGGGUAAGAUUUGAUACGAUUAGAGGAAGGGGAAGUGGAGGGAGAGGAACCAAGAAAUACAGUGUCUUUAAUCCACUGAGGAACUGCUGAAGAUUAUGGACUAAUUCUCUUCAAUUUUCCUUGAUCUAUAUAGGGAGUGACAGCAAAGGAAAUUCACUGGAUUGCAUCAGGUUUCUGGUAGUUUGCUGUAUGUGUAAGUUUAACCAGAUUAGUAUGUGUUCAUCCUAAAACUAGGUUCUGUUUUUUAAAAACAACCUUCAAUCCUGAAGUGCUCCUGCUUCUCACUGCUGUUUGUUUUUCCCUGUUUCGUUUUGUUCGAAGACAGUGAAGCUUCAGAGAAUAGUAUCACAAAAAGGAAAGUCCAAGAAAAUGAAGCCUGGGAGCCUUACACAAACAACUUGAGUACUGUUCCAUUCUUUGACCCAACAGCCAGCACCUUUCCUGACACCGAGUAAAAAAGAAUCACCCGUAUUUUACUAUACCUAAUUCCAUUGGCUAGAUUUUGUUUUCAUAUGGGCCAGUGUGAGUCCAGGAUUUGAUAUGUACCUUUUUUCAGGCUAAUAUGUUUAUUCCACAUUAAUACAGUGAUGCCUCCACUAAAAUCCUCCCCCUCUAUUUUUAAGCCCUCACCUUCUGUCUCAGAAUCAAAACUGUAUAUUGGUUCCAAGGCAGAAGAGUGGUAAGGACUAAGCAAUGGAGGUUAAGUGAUUUGCCUAGAGUCACACAGCUAGGAAGUAUCUGAGAUCUGAGGUCUGAUUUGAACCCAGGACCUGCCAUCUCUGGGCUUGGCUUUCAAUCCACUUAGCCACCUAGCUGCCCCUUUUAGUAUCAAUUCUAAGACAGAAAAGCCACACAAGCUAGGCAUUUGAAGUUAAGCGACUUGCCUAGGGCCACACAGCUAGGAAGAGUCUUAAGUCUGAACCUAGAUCCUCCCAAUUCCAGGCCUGACACUCUCUUCCAGGCCUGUGCUACCUAUCUGUCCCUUUGGUUGUCUAUUCUAGUUUAGAAGUGAUCCUGUCUUCUCAAAAGGUAUGCCAGCUAGCCAUAAACUCUGGUAGGCCCAAAUAAUCUGUAAAAGGGUCUUUAAUCUGAUAGUGAGAUUAUCUGAUAAAUUCAGAUAGUCAUAGAAAGCUAUAAACCCAGUGAUAUGAAUAUUUUGGACCCAGCUAUUUAUGAUAGUUAUCCCUGAAGAUAUAGAAGGUUCAUGAUCUUCGGUAGAGACAUUGCCAACACCAGUGGAUCUUUGGAAGUAACAAAGCUUCAUUUCUCUGGAACUUUGUUUCAGAUUUUCCGAAUGUUGUGAGGGGCUAAAACUAAAAGAGAAUUUUUUUCAACCCUUACUUUUCUGUCUUAGUAACAGCUCUUUGACAGAAGGACAAGCCCAGGUAGGUAACUGGAGUUAAUUGACUUGGCUAGAGUCUGAGGCCAGAUUUGCCAAACUUAAACAUUUUUAUUGAAAAUCUUUCUAGAUUAUGUUACACUCUGUUCUGCUUUGGACAUACAACUUGGGGACUAGGAACUUUGAUACAUGAAGGUAUCUGUGACCUUCAGUGAGCUAGAAGUUAGUGGAUGAAUACAUUUGUAUGAUAUAUGUUUGCCUGGGUGAUUUCUCUGUAAUUGAAAGCAAUAGAGCUGUUGACCCAGCAUGAGUUUCAUCUUUAAGAAGGCAUCACUAUAAUUAAAUGCAACAAGAAUUUAUAAAGUACAUUCUAGGAGCCACGCACUAUGCCAGACUGGCCAGGAAUGGGCUUCUUUUCUGGAAAGAGACUAUAGGUAUAGCUAUACCAUGGAAUUCCUCUGUGGGAGUGGGAGGAACAGAAAUGUUGGAUAGGCAUGGACUCCCUUUUUGAAAAGAAGAAAAAUCUUACGGUAUUUUAGAAAUGGUGCUAUUCAUAAUAACACAACCUUUUCUUGAUGACUUGGGGUGGGGCAUGAGGGUGAAGAAGAUUUGGAUCCCAGGAGAUAUUCUGGAACUUGACUCCUCAACAAGGUUAGUGGUAUUAGCUUGCUUUGGGGUUAUUUGCCUGUUUCUCAUAAAAGUGGCAUAAAAGACAUUACAUUACCUUCAGGUAGUAUGUGCAUGCACGCGCAUGCGCGCGCGUGUGUGUGUGUGUGUGUGUGUGUGUGAGAUGGAUAUAAAACGAAUUAUUGAAUUUCUUAUAAUAAUUACUGAAUACCAAAACAAUCUGUUCCCAAAUGGCUUCACAGGCCCUGAGGGGGAAAAAAAACAUCUUCUUCUAAAGAAAAACCAUUUGUUAAAUGUCUACUGGAUGAAAGACACUGUACUAUCCUUUAAUUUCCUGGCAGCCUUCAAAAGUUAUUAUACCUGCAUUACCACUAAAUCCUUAAGCACUCUCUUUGUCAACUUUGUCUUCCCCAUUUGUGUGUCUUGAAUUAAGUUUAUUGAUAACAGAAGGAACAUUCCUGAUCACUUUUUUUAAUUUUAAUUUUUUUAAUUUUUAAAACCCUUAUCUUCUGUCUUAGAGUCAAUACUGUGAGUUGACUCCAAGGCAGAAGAGUGGUAAGGGCUAGGCAAUAGGGGUUAAGUGACUUGCCCAGGGUCAUACAGCUGGGAAGUAUCUGAGGUCAGAUUUGAACCUAGGACCUCCAGUCUCUAGGCCAGGCUCUCAAUCCACUGAGCCACCCAGCUGUCCCCUCAUUUAUUUUUUAAAAUAAAUUUACUAUUUCCCUAUUCCUUCCCCUUCCGUCUCUUCUUACAGAGAAUCAAAAAAGAGGAAAAAGACGACUUCAGCAAAAUUAAGCAACAUCUCCACCGAGUUCAACAUACAGUGUUCCACACCCAUAGUUUCCCUCCCCUUUCUGCAGAAAAGGAAGACAUUCUCAUUCUUUUUCUUGGGAGUGGCCUUUAUAAGACUCAUUUUUCACUUGUCAUUCCAUUUACAUUGCUGUAAUUGUGUAUUUUUUCCAUUUUUUUAAGUAAUGUGUUGAAUUUUUGAUAUGCUUUUUCCUCUUAAUGAUUAAUUUUAUUGACCUUUUUUUCUAUGUUGCUUAAUUUCCCUUUGUAUUUCUCUCCUUCCCAUAGAGUCAUCUCUUAUACCAUUCUUUUAAAGAAGAGGAAAAAAAUUCUUCAAAGUUGGUUAACACAAUGAAAAAACCUGAUGUUUACUGCAGAUGGUCCCCUACCUCUGCAAAGGAGUGAGGGUGGGGAGGGAAGGGAAGGGAAGCUGGCUUUUCAUAUUUUUUCAUAUUUGGGGGUAACAAGCUCCUUCGUUAUAGGAUUUGGCUUCAUUUAUUUUGUUGCUUGUUCUAUCCAUUUCCAUUGCUGUGUAGAUUCUUUUCCUGGUCUAGUUUACUUCACUUUGUAUCAGUCAGAUCAAUCUCUUCCCAUGCUUCUCUCAAUUCACCACAUUCAUCAUUUUUAGUAAUAUAGGAAUGCUCCAUUUCAUUCAUGUUCAAUUUGUUUAGCCAUUCCUCUCUUGAUGAGCAUCUGUUUUAUUAUCAGUUCUGUACAUCCACAAAAAGCAUUUCUAUAAAUAUUUUGGCUUCUCUGGAUUUUUUUCCAAAUCUGUCUUACUUGUGGGUACAUGCUUAGCAGUGCCAUCUCUGUGUCAAAAGUUAUGGACAUUUUAGUCACUUUCUUAGCAUCAUUCUAAAUUGCUUCCCAUAAGGGUUGAACCAAUUCACAACUCUACCAACAGUAUAUUAGUGUUCUUGUCUUUUGUGUAGUUCUUUAACAUUGACUAUUUUAAACUUUUACCAUCUUCAUCAAUUUUCUGUUUAUGAGGUAAAACCUUAGGGUUUGUUUUUGCAUUAUUAGUGAUUCAGAGCAGUGUUUUCAUAUAGUUGGUUAUAGCUUGCAAUUCUUUUGAGAAUGGUUUGUUAAUUUCUUUCAACCAUUUAUCUAUUACAGAAUGGUUUCUCAUAUAUAUUUGUUAGUUCUUGAAUACCAAACCCUUAUAGGAGAUAUUUGAUGCAAAAAAUUUCCCCCUGAUCUACAGCUUUCCAUCUCCUAGUUUGUUUAUUUUGUUUGAAUAAAAGCUUUUCAAUUUCCUCUAAUCAAAAUUAUCUGCUUUACCUUUUGUGAUCUCUUUAUCCCUUACUUAGAUAAGAAUUCUUCUUCUAGUCUUAGCUGUGAAAGGACCUGAUCUCUUUUUCUGACUCCUAAGGAAUUUGUGAUCAUUUCAAGAAUCUGUGUGGAUGUACUUGGGAGAGGGCUUACUAUAAAACUUAUUGAGUCUUUAUCACAAGAAGGUAUUACUGUAGAUUUGACACCAGACCAUAAUUUUCUCCAUCCCCUUUUUAAAUAAUUUAUUUUUAACAAUUCCAGGCACAAGCAAUGUUAACAUUACAUCUUUAGUCUUAAAUGACAGCAAAAGUCCUGGAGAAGUCCCUAUUCUAAAAGCCCCAUCAUAGUGGUAGUAAAGAACUGUAUUUUCCCGUUGGAAAUGUUAGAAUGUGGAGUAGAGUGCCUGAUCAAAGAUUGCUCAUUAAAUAAAUCACAUAUACACCCAACACUCUGGGAGAAAAUCAAAGAUUCAUCAAUUAAGCCUCAGUAAGCCUUUGAAAUAGUGAGAUUAUGUUCCACUUCCUAUAAAAAGUUACAGAAACACAUAAUGCACAUGGUUUACAGAUGGACCCCAGUGGUUCUAUAAAGCUCCCUAUGCUACACAGAACUCUGCUGUGCCAUCAAUUUGAAUUUAAAAUUAUUUUGCUGCUAUAAUAAGCAUUAAUUAUUGCCUUAAUAAUUUUGUUGCUGCUUAAAAUACAGAAAGGCUUUGGAGGGACAAUUUAGGUGGCCUAGGUCUUUGAAAAUCUUUCCAAGAUCAUUUGAGCAUCAGCCUUUAAGUUCCUUAUAACAAAUGGAGGCAUACAUAAUUAUAGAUGUACCCCCAAAUAAGGGAAAAAGACCCUUCAAAAUACACUGUUGUAUGUGUGUAUAUAUUUAUCUAUAGAUAAUUUACAUGUGUAUAAUUAUAUAUAAUAAUAUAGAUAAUAUAUCUAUUUCUAUAUAGAUAAUUUAGAUAUAUGUUUAUCUAUAAAUAUAGAUUUAUGUAUCUUAAUGAUAAUGUUUCUCACUGAUAAGCAUUUUUAUGGUAAGGACUCUCUCAACUUUCCUUCCCUCCCCACUCUUCUUCCUUUAGUUUAUUCAAAACUACAAAUACUGAUGGUUUCAUCCACCUUGAUAUCUGUGAAACCCCUGUUGCUUUGAUCAGCUUCCUUUUCUUGCCUUUGCUUCCAUGAUGUUGAACUUAAAAAAUAGAUUUUUAUUCCCAUCUUCAGUUUUUACAUCCCGUAGCUUUCCCUCUGCAUUCAUUCCCCAUCCAUUGCCUCUCCCAAAAAGCUAUUCUUUACAACAAAGGGUUUUUUAAAGACAGGGAAAAAGGAAGAAACUAAAAUUUAGUCAAACCAAUCAACACACAUUAAAAAAAUCUGAUGUUAAAAGCAGUGCUCCACAUGUCAGAGACCUUGGAGGGGGAUGAAGAAGAGGUGUUCUCAUAUCACCUUCUUUGGGGCCAAGUUUGUUCUUUAGAGUUCUGCAACAUUGGUUUUUCCCGUGUUGUGAUGGUUGCUCUUUCUGUUUUCAUUGUUUGCACAUAUUUGUAUAUUGUUCUCCUGACUCUGCUUAAUUUUCUCUACAUCCAUUCGUAUAAGCCUUUCCAUUUUUCUCUCAGUUCAGCAUGUUCAUUAUUUCUUACAGCACAGUAAUAUUCCAUUACAUCCAUAAACCACAAUUUGUUAGCCAUGUCCCGAUUUAUGAACAUCUACUUUUUUCACCAGUUCUUUGCUACCACAAAAAAUAUUGUCCUAAAUAUCUUGGCACGUGGGGGGGGGGCAGGCUUGUUUUUUAUUUUUUAUCCUUUAUCUAUAUGUUCUGCAGACGAAGCAUGCAUUCUGUUCUGUCUCCACUUCUUUUUCUCUCUUUAAUCUGUCCUUGGCCCUUUUCCCCCUCCUUCAAGUAUCCUCUUGAUUUCUAUCUAUUUCAAUGGAUUCAAUUGUAAUUUCUAAGCUCCUGCCUCUGUCUCUGGCCCCAGUCACUCCUAAGAGGGUUCGUUCUGUACUUCUCUCCACCCGCAUAUGUGUCUGGCACUUGAGAUGCAACGUGUCCAUAACAGAAUUAACCAUGUUUCCUUUAAAAAUCUAUUCUUCCUCCUAAGAUCUUUAUUUUUCUUUAAGCCCCGUAGUCUUAAAUCUUGAGUUAUCCUUGCCUUCUCCCAUUCUUUAAUGAUUUUGCUGCCCCAGCACCAUCCAGUUAUAGAAAGAAAGGAUUUCAAAGCUGUAAAGCACCUUAGAACUGAGGCCCAGAAAGGGGAAAUCACUCACUGGCUGCUAGGUGGUGCAGUGAACAGAGUUUAGACCUAGAAGCAGGGCUUAGACCCAAGUUGAAAUUCAAAUUCGGCCACUUCCAGGCUGUGUGAUCCUGGGCAAGUCACUUAGGCCCCAUUGCCUAGUCCUUGUUACUCUGAUACUAAGACAGAAGGUAAGAGUUAAAAAGAAGAAGUAGCUUAAAAAAUCUUUCUGCAAGUUUUAAUGACUUUUUUUUUCACAUUUAAUAGCAUUCAAAUGCUCUAAGACUUUUGGGACACCCUGUAUUUUAAUAUAAUUGGUUCUUUUCUUAAUCCUAACACAUUUUAUUUUAUGAAUUUAAAAAUAUUAUUCUGAGUCCCUCCAUUUAUCAGAUUACCAGAUCUCAAGGGAUCCAUGAUGCAAAAAAAAAAAAAGCUCAAGAACACGUGUACUAAAGGCUUUUGUUGGAAGAGAGCCAUUACCAGAGUGGUCCAUUAAGAACCCUUUUGGGUUAGUGGUUUGAAGGCUGGACACAAGGGAAAGACUGGAGGCAAGAACAGUCAGGAAGCGACUAUUCUAAUGAUCUAAGUAAGAACUGGGGAAAUCAUCACUAGGGCUGAUAUAUUGAAUUUAGACCCAUUUUUUUAAACCCUUACCUUCUGUCCUGGAGUCAAUACUGUGUAUUGGCUCCAAGGCAGAAGAGUGGUAAGGGCUAGGCAAUGAGAGUUAAGUGACUUGCCCAGGGUCACACAGCUAGGAAGUGGCUGAGGCCGGAUUUGAACCUAGGACCUCCCGUCUCUAGGCCUGGUUCUCAAUCCACUGAGCUACCCAGCUGCCCCCUAGACCCAUUUUUGAUAACAGGGAGGGGAAUAUUGGGAAAUGAUCAUGAUGGGAACAAAUCAUCAAUGAAACUUUAAAUAAAUGCAUUUUUAAAAACUAGGCUCAAAAAAUAAAAAGAAAAAAAGGUUGGAUAAAAGAGCUACUACUAAGGUAGAAUCAAUUAGAAAAAUUGAUGGGAAAAGCACUGAACUGGAAGUCAGGACUCCAGAAUUCUAACUUUGGUUCUGCCACUAACUAGAAUGAUCCCCUUGAACAAGUAAUAGUAAUAAUAAUAAUAGUUUAUAACUAACAUUUAUAUAAUGCCUGCUAUGUGGCUGGCCUCCAGGUCUGGAGCUCUACUCACUGCUACCUACCUGUCCCUGUACUUUUUAUUCAAGAUUAAAAAUUUGCUAUGACAUUUGAGAAACCCUGCAUAGCUAUCAAUUAAAAAGAAAGAUUAGACCCUUCAGGUUAGGAGCCCCUGAUUUUAUGGUUCCCCAUUGUUUUAUUGAAUAAAAUCUUCCUCAUUCUAGCAUCCCUAAAACCACCAUCUGAGCCUGUUGAAAUCCUUACUUCUAAGUCCAACUCAGAUGCUACUCCUAGAAUCCUAUUCUGAUUCAUCCAAUUGAAUGUGACCUCCCCCAAUCAUAUCUCUCCUAGUGCUUUGCUGGGAUGGCUCCUUUGUUCUUUUGCCCCAUUCUGCCUUGUUACAGAUAUCUUCACCUCUGUUCUCCAAUGGGCUCCAAUGUAAGUUCCUUUGUAGUCUUCUCACAGAGCAUGGUACCCUGAUCAUAGUAACCACUUGGAAAAGAUUUGGUCAACUGAAUGACAUUAUAUCAAGCUACCUUUUUGCUUCAAAACCUGGCCCCCUCCUUCCUUUCCAGCCUUCUUCCAUAUUCCUCACCUAUUGGCCUUCUGGCUCUUCCUCACCCAUAUUCAUCUUCUAUAGCUGUGCUUUUGCCUCAACUAUUCCCUGAGCUUCGAAUACUCUUCUUCAUUAUCUCUACCUCAAAGGAUUCCUCUCUUCAAGACUCAGCCCAACACCAUAUCCUGCCACUGGGCUUUUUCUUGUGUCUUUGAUCCCCUUGGUAGUCUGGUGAAGUCUAUGGACCCUUCUCAUAAUCAGGUCUGUUGCCUACAUUCAUAACUGAAGGACCUGCUGAAUUAAAGAUGUAUUUUUUCCCAUCCACAUUUAGGAAUCCCCUGAAAUCCAUCCAUGGAUAGAGGCUCUUGGCCGAGAGCCUCUGUUCUACAACAAGCCUUUCUUGAUCCCCCCAACUAUUGGUGACCUUUCUUCCUAGAUAACCUAUUUAUUUCAUCUUUAUUCCAUAUGUGCAUUAGGUACACGUUGUCUCUUGAUCACAUUUAAGCUCCUAGAAGGCAGGAAUUGUUCAUUUUUGCCUGUGUCCCUAGUGCCUGACUCAGUGCCUGGUACACAGUAGGCCUUUAAUAAAUGUCAUUGGUCGAUUUCUCUAAGUAUGAACACAAGUAAGAAUGUAAAAAAAUUGUAAUGCACAAUAGUUCUAUAAACUCCUACAUGUUUCAGUCUAUUCCAACAAAAGGUCUCUGUUCUAGCCAUUUGGGGGGUUUUAUUUUCAUUGUUGACCCCAGGAGAAUCAAUGGAAUCUUUGUAUUCAGUUUAAUUUUCCAUAUUUGGUUAGAUUUUCAAAGUGCCAUUGUGUUUGGAGAUAUUCCCUUUAUCACCCUCAAAUUAUAAUAAUAGUAAUAAAGCAGUAAGGGAAGAUGAUUGGAAACAUAACACACAGCCACUGUUCCAGUGUAAGGAAGGCAGGUACCAUGGGAGGUAGAUGUUUCUUGAAUACAUGGGGCCAUAGGAUCUAGAGCUAGCAGGUGUAGUUGGAGUUCAUUAGGCCCAAUGCCUUCAUUUGACCCAUGAGGGAACUGAGGAGCAGUCAAGUCACCUCACAGAAACUGAUAGUUGAAAGGGACACAUGAAGCCAUUUAGCCCAACCUGUAUUUGAGCCAGAAUUUGCUCUAUAAUAUCCCUGACAAAUGGCCAUCUGGACUUUGAUCGAAGGUCAUUGAAGGGGAACCUAUGAAUCGGGUCCUAGAUCUAUAGAUGAAAAGGGCCUCAGAAGCCCUCUUAUCUAAGCCUCUCAUUUCACAGGUAGGGAAAGUGAGGCCCAGGAAGUUUAGGUGUCUUGCCCAAGGUCACAGAGGCAGGAUUUAAAUCCAGGUCCUCCAAGUCCAGAGUGAGUGAGUAUUUUUCCCCCAGCUAUACCACAUGGCCUCUCAUUUUACAAAUACCCUAUUUAUUACUUACCACUUUGGGUUCACUCUCUUAGGAAGUUUUUCCUAAUUUAAUUUCCAGAUUUAAUCUGCCUUUUUUAUAGUUUCUAUACUCCAGGUCACAUAGGGAGUAACUAGCAAAAUCUGAGUCCUUGAACUUCAGAUCAAAAAAUCCAAGGGAUGGGGAAUUUGGUGGUUUGGGAAUAUUUUAUAAACAUCUUGUAAAAUUUGGCCUGUGGCAUUUCAAUUGUUUCUUGCACUUAACUCUGAUUUACUGGUGAUUUCUUGACUAAAACCCUAAUUAUUUGUGAGUUGUAAGUUCCCCGUCAGCUCUCUUGCCCCUCUGGACCUCCUCUCACAAUUGUGCCUUCCUUUCAUAUCCCAUUCUCUAGUUCCUUGGAGAGAACCUUUCUUGAUUGUCUGUUCUUCUUUAUCCAGGAAGAUUUCAUGGACUUGUUCCUUUUCUUGGCUAGCUUUUGAAAUUUCCCUGAGUGCUUUGGGGCUACUUUGUUCCAAAGCCCCAGCUACUGCUUUGACCCACAGGAGGAAAUAAAUGUUGUCUCAUACCUCCUGAGAGCUUGGUUCAUGCCCAUCACUUGGGGCUAUCUGGGAUAACUUCCACUGAACCUGUAUAAAGAAGAGCUUCUCAGAAUAAAGGACAACUUUUAUGACAAUGCCCUCUUCUACAUCCUCCUUUAGGGUUUGCAGAAUAGCCCAGUGUCUGCUGAGCCUCAUCUUUUCAACCAUUCAGGCCUGUCCCUCUAAUACAAUGUGAAAUACCAGGGUUUUCUCUUCUUUGUAUGAUCUUGCUUUCCUUGAAUGCAUUUUUUCUGGGGUUUUUGAGUCUCUUGCUCCAGGAGGAAAGAGUAAACUAUAUAUGACUAUCAGAGAUUUCUAAUAAAUCUUUGAUUAUUGCACUUUUUAAAUCCUUUCUAUUGUCUCCUCCUCUUCUCCAUCUCCCUUUCUCUCACCUUAAAUAACUUCCCCUCCCUUCUCUCCAAUGGAGACUUGGACUCUAAUGUUUCUGCAAUUUCUAGGGAAAAUUUUUGUUAAAAUUUCUAGUCAACAUUCUUUUCCUCUCCACUAAAUGCCCCAAACUUAGAAGACACUUAAAAAAAAAUUACAGAACUUUUGUUCACCAGGUUCAAAAUGUCUGUUUACAUGUGAGAUUUGGGGCUUGUGUUUAAAUCAAAAGCACAUUUUUCAAAGAAUACAAUCCUAUUCCUCUCCUCAUUGUGGAAAAGCAUCCCUCAUAAUCAAAGAGUAUGGAUUGUGAAUAUAAUUUUAAAUUCCUUCUAGCAAGAGGAGAGAUUUAUUUAUAAAUUACAGUAUUUGUGAACCCUGUGAUAUUGCUUGAGCUUUGCACAUCUCAAGUGCAGGUUUUCUUUUUGACUUUUUGUUCUCUAAAAUUUGAUUGCUAUAUUGCUGUUUUUCACCCUUUAUAAAAAGAGUUAUAGUAAGUAAUUCAGCAAUAUGAAAUGUUUACUUGUUCGGUUUGUGAAUGCAAUUCAGUAUUAUGCAAUAAAUUUGCUUUUUUAAUUUCCAAACCUAGCAGUAAAAUAGAUUUGCAUAGGCACUGUAAUGAGUGGUCUAUGCAAUUACAGUGGAGAGGGCUAGGAUUGAGUUUAACAUCUUUCAAAGGAAAUUAUUGUUGGAGCUAGAAGUACUGGUGCCUGAAACCGGGUGGAACAUGAAGUUGGUCUGGCUCUGAAAAAUCACCUCUCUUGGGUGUAAAGACAAGAUAAUGCACCUUGAUUAUAUUCUCUUUGGAAAGAGCAUAUGAUUUGGAAUCAGGAAACCUGGGUUCAAAUGCUGCUUCUGCCACUUACUAAUUGAUCUUACCAAGACCUUUAAUUUCCAUCUCUGGGCCUCAAUUUACUCUUCUGCCUUUCCAUCUUUUAAGUUCUGUGAUGUAGGGAGCCCCAAAUGAUAAGCAGAAUAGUGUAAAGGACUUGAAGUCAGGGAGACUUGGAUUCAAAUCCCACCUCAGACACUUCCUCUGUGACUCUAGGUGAGUCAUUGAACUUGUUUUUCCCAUCUGAAAAUCAGAGGUUUUGACUCAGUGGCUGCUGAUAUGAUAUCUGAAAGUGGAUGCCUGGAGAAUGCUUCAGAAAAGAGGCCUCCUUUGUCUUUAUGAGACAAUGAUAAGGACUGGACUGUUUCUCAUAGUGCUCCCUCUUGACUAAAUGAAUUCCCUUCUCUUUUCUUUAAAAGUUGUAAAAACAGAAGAGCAUUAUUCGAAAAUAGCUUCUGAGUCAGGAAGCCAGGCGUAUGUUAUGACAGUGAUGUAGAUGAUUGAGUCCGUCCAUGAUUUACCUGGGUGUACAGUGGUGGCCAGUGACUUGGUAUCCUUCAUUAUUUUUGCAUUCAGUCAAGAAAAGAAUGGAAAACAUCCAUGCUUACACAUUUCCCCCAAUGUCUAAGCCUUUACUGACUCGCAGAGGCUUAUAAUUUCAUCCAAAGUCCUUAUCACUGCUCUGCUGACCCUGUGAAUUCAGAGCAAACCAGAGCAUGCCUGGAAGAUUUCCAUGGGACGUGGUACCAUUAAAGACCAAAUUCUUGAUUACGUGGAUGUAGAAACUGCCCUUUAAUAAUAUAAAGGAGGCGGGAAGCUGCUGAUUCUCAUCCAGCCAAGGCAGUAUGAGGUAGUUAUCACAGACUUUCUAGAACAGUGUAAUUCACAUCAAAAAGCUUGAGCCAGAAGAAAAAUAAUAGCUGACGUCUAUUAGGCCCUUCAUCAAUGAGUGUUUAUUAGGUGUGUGCUGUGUGUGCUAGGUGCUGGGGAUCAAAACACAAAGGGAAGCAAUCCUGGCCCUCAAGGAGCUUAGAGUCUACCUGGAGGAGACAUUGCAUGCACGUAUGUAUAUAUGUAUGUAUGUGUAUGUAAAACAUGAAGACACAAGGCAAGAAAUGCACACAGGUACGUACCUCCACGUAUUCAUGUAUGUCACAUAUGUCAUCUUGUGUGUUCUAUAUACACACAUGUAUAUCAUCUUGGAUGUUAUGUAUUCCUAUCUAUAUACGCAUGUGUACAUAUAUAUGAUCUUACGCAUUUUCUUUUGCACACAUCUCACCGCAUAUAAUAUACAUGUGUGUAUUAUACAUACAUAUCACACAAAAGUUUCGCCAAGUGCAUUACAUGCAUUAUCUGAUUUGAGCCUCAUGACAACUGGGGUAGAUGUUGUUUUCAGAUAAUGGUGAAACAGUCUGAGAGAAGUAAGUAGUAGGCCUUGGCCAGGCUUACUCAGCUUGGGAAGGUCCAGGCCUUCAAGGAGCCUUCAAGUUCUUUGGCUCCCAAACCUCCCACUGGAAGUAAGGAAAUGGAGGCUUAAGGAGACACGGGGUGACUUGCCCAAAUCACACCGCUGGUUACUAACUGAGCAGAGAUUGAACCUCAGACCUUCUGACUCUUAAGUCAGCCAAGUGAAAUGAGCUUGACAUCCGCUAGUGGAGAAAAAGCCCAAUCAGACUUCUGUUUCCAACAUAAUAUAGGCCCUUGGGGAUUCUGCUUAUGAGAACUUCUGGUGACAUUUUUAAAGGGGCUGCUGGGUAAAAGCAAUUAGUUGCCUGCUUUCAAAGCUGAUGAAAUGCAAGUGUCCAUCCCAAACACUUGCUUGAUAAUUGCCACACGACAUGCACUGGAAGGAAACCUACAACUGAUCUCCAUCCACUCUGUUCAAGUGCUGUGAAAUGAGCACCCCAAAUGAUGUGAUGCAGAGACCCUGCCCUAGGAGCCUCUUCCUGUUCAAGCUAUAUGGCUUGAAUGCACUUCACCUUGAGGAAGCCUGGUUCCCUCCCUAUAAGCUGAGGCCAAUAAUGCCCAUAUUUCCUAGCUCACAUGGAGGGCUCCUAUUAGGUGAGUACUUCAUAAUCUUUAUUUUUUUUAAAACCCUCACCUUCUGUCUUAGAAUCAAUACUAUGAAUUGGUUCCAAGGCAGAAGAGUGGUAAGGGCUAGGCCCAGGGUCACACAGCUGGGAAGUGUCUAAGGUCAGAUUUGAACCUAGGACCUCCCGUCUCUAGGUCUGACUCCAGCUGCCCCACUUCAUAAUCUUUAAAGCACAAUAGAAAUGUGGUAUGGUGGUGGCAGCAAGUCCCUUGGCCCUUGGGAAGAGUCUUUAAACUCCUUUAAAGUAAAAUAUUUGCCUUAAGAAUACUUCAUCAAGUCCAGCUUCUCCAGCCUCUAACAUUCACCUUUAUAAGCAUGGCAUCAGGGACAGUCCAGUCAGCUGGCUGGAAAUAAGGUUCCUAUUAUGUGCCAGGCAAUGUGCUAAGCACUCAGGAUACAAAGAAAGAAAAGAAGCAUUGGACUUGGAGCCAGAAGUUCAAAUGUUGCUUUGACAUUUAUUAGCUGUGUUUAACCAUGGUCAAGUUGCUUUUCCUCUGUGAACCUUUUUUCACAUCUGUAAAAUGGGUAUAAUAAUUUAACAACCUCCCCCACAGGAUCCUUGAAGGGAAAGUGCGUCAUCAACCUUUAUGCAUCAUAAAUGUAUGAGGAGAUCUUAUCAUUUUCAGAUUAGGAAGUACAUAUGCUAAGAUGAAAGAAUUCCUUACCAAGUUGUAGAGAUUCCAUGCGCUGAAAUGAUCUGCUAAUGAAAAAUUUUGAAUUCAAGUUAACAAGCCCUUAUUAAGCACUUUUAUGUACAAGGGUCUGGGUAUACAAAGACAAAAAGGAAACACAGUCACUGUCCCAAAAGAACUUGAGUUCUACAGAGGAAAGCAACAAACACCCACAGAUAAAUAAAUAUCAGAUCAUUUGUGGGAUAGUCAGAAACCAAGGCAGUGUGGUGCAAUGAAAAGUACUAGGCUGAACCACCACAUCUGGAUUCAAAUCUUGACUCUACUAUUUGCUACAUGGUUUAUUCUUGUGCAAGUUAUUUUAGCUCCCUUUCCCUCCGUUUCCUUAUCUAUAAAAAUAGAUUAGAAAAGAUGUUUUCAAAUGUCCCUUCUAGUUCCAAAUGUAUGAUACUACUAAGAAAUGUUGGAAUUGCUGUGGUGCAAAUGGGCAUAAUUUGAGACUUUAAAAAAAUAAUAAAGCCUCACCUCAAAGUUUCUUAUAUUGGACCCCCCCAAAAGGUAAAGGAGCUUCUUUUUUUGGCAGGUAUUUUAUUUUAUUUUUCCCCUUUUUAAAAAAUUUAGCAUAUUUUUCCAUGGUUACCUGAUUUAUGCUCGCCCCAACUCUUUCCUCUCCCCUCCCGAAGUCAACAAGCAGUUCCACUGGGUUAUGCAUGUAUCAUUGUUUAAAAUCCAUUUCCAUAUUCAUAUUUGCAGUAGAGCAAUCUUUUAACAUCAAAACCCUAAUCACAUCCCUAUUGAACUAUGUGACCAAUCAUAUGUUUUUCUUUUGCGUUUCUGCUCCCACAGUUCUUUCUCUGGAUGUGGAUAGCAUUCUUUCUCAUAAGUUUCUCUGGAUUGUCCUGGAUCAUAGCAUUGCUGCUAGUAGAGAAGUCCAUUACAUUUGAUUGUACCACAGUGUAUCAGUCUCUGUGUACAAUGUUCUCUGGUUCUGCUCCUUUCACUCUGCAUCACUUCCUGGAGGUCAUUCCAGUUCCCAUGGAAUUCUUCCACUUUAUUAUUCCUUUGAGCACAAUAGUAUUCCAUCACCAUCAGAUACCACAAUUUGUUCAGCCAUUCUCCAAUUGAAGGGCAUCCCCUACUUUUGCAAUUUUUUUGCCACCACAAAGAGCGCAGCUAUGAAUAUUCUUGUACAAGUCUUUUUCUAAAGGAGCUUCUCCUAGAGCUGAAACUUGAAGGAUACCAAGGAUUGUAAGAGGUAAAUGUGAGCUGGAAAUGCAUUUAAGGCAUAGGAGAAUGACUGGGGUAAAAACACAGAGAUGGCAAAGCUGGACGUGUUGUUGAGUUCUGGAAACAAGUGCCAGGUCAGUUUGGUUGUAAUGCAGAGAGUAUGAAGAGAAAGACUGUGUAAUAAGGCUAGAAAGGCAGGUGGGAGCUGGAUUAAGGAUUUAGAGGUCAGCCUAAAUUUUACCCUGGAGCCUGAGAGUGACUUGCAUGGUUAGACCUAAGCUUUGGCAGCUAGCUCUGUGGAGGCAUGACUGGAGAAGAAAAAGAUUAGAAGCAGAGAAAGCAAUUAAGGGGUCAUUGUAGUAGUCUGGAUGGGGGGUGGUGGUGUAAGCGCCAGAACAGGAUGUUGCUUGUGUGCUUGUGAGGAAGAAGAGGGAGAGAUGUUGUAGACAGAGGGAGAAUGAACAGGCCUUGGCAACUGAUUGUUUAUGGAUUGGGGUAGGUGGGUGUGGAUUUGAGAAAUAGUGAACAGUCCAGAAAGAUUCCAAGGUUGUGAACCUGGAACCCAGGUGGCCGAGAGCAUGGUAGAACCCUUACUGGGGAAAAGAAGCUUUGGAGUGAAGGAGAAGGGGGAAAUGAGUUCCAUUUUGGACAUGCUGAAUUGGAGAUGUUUAUGGGACAUGUGGGAGCUGCUUUUCAGCAGGAAGUUGGUUAAAGUAGGGCUGGAACUCAAGGAAGAGAUUAGGAGUAGAUAUAUCAAUAUGAAAUCAUUUGCUUAGAUGUGACCAUGAACUCACCGGAGCUAUGAAGCAACUAAGUGGUGCAAUGGGUAGAGCACAGCAUCAGGAAUCAGUUCAAAUCUAGCCUCAGAUGCUUACUAGUUGUAUGAACCUGGGCAAGUCACUUAACAGCUGUCAGUCCAAGUUUCUUUAUCUGUAAAACAAGGAUACUUCUAGCACCUAACUCCCAGAGUUGUUUUGAGGAGAAAAUUGGCUGAUGUUUGUAAGCUUAGUAAAGUUUGAAGGGCUACAUAGUUUUAUUAUUCAUAAACGACUGGUAGUAGUAGAAGUAGUCAUUAACCGGCUUCUUAAGAGAGAGACUUUAUGGAGAGAAGUAAAGAAGUCCCAGGAUAGAGCUUUGGAGAAUACUCGUGCCUGGAGGGACCAGAACGGAAGAAGAUCUGGUAAAGGAGCCAGGGAAGGGUUGAUUACAAUGAAAAACAACUCUGAAGUUGAGUGGGAGUGAGGAUGGCUGGAACUGUGGAUAUAAGUGAACUUCUGCUUUGAUUCCCAUAUCUCUGUGGUCUCCCUGCAGUUCAGCUCCGUGUUAGGGGAUAACACCCACCUCUGCAACACCAAGUCCCCCUAAAAAAAGGGAAAGUGGAUCAAGUUAGGGUAGGCUGCUGCUGGUAGGAAGUCCUACAUGGACUUCCCAUGCUUUGGGCAAAUUUCUGACAUAUCGUAGUGGACUUCUGGUGAAUUUCUGAUGGUUUAUGGCAGACUUCCGAUGCUUCUGGUUACCCUUGGAUAAGGGAGACGUGUGAAAGCGAAACCAGGGUUUAAGGGGGUCCUUCUGUAUACACAUUGCUGAUAAGGGGUGAAUAUAAUCAUUGUUGUAUAGGGAGAGUAUUACAUAAAUUAUAUUUAUUUAUUUAAUAUAGUGUUUAUUAUUAUAUAACAACAUAUAUCAUGAUAUAUUGAUAUUAUAUUAUUUACACAUUUAUUUUAUUUUUAAUUUUUAUAAUUUCAUGGUGUCAUGUGUGGGUCAAACCCACUCUGAAAAUCCACUAAGGUUCUGUUUUUCUGUGUCACAGUACUGAUGCAGUGUAAUUAAAAUUGUUCAGGCCAAUUAACACUCCCUCUGAUACUUGGACAAGAAGGCUGCUAGGCAGUAAUUGCAUUAAGACUCCAGAGCCUGUGGUCAGAAAGGAUUUUGACUGUGAUCUGGGUAAUACAGUCUUCAAAGUAGUGCUAGAAAAGGCAGGCCAGGUCCAUCAUUACUUUGAGGACUUCAUUCCACCAGCACCUGAAACACCUUAGGGAAUAUGUUUGAGUUCCUAACAGGGACCCCUAAGUUCCUGAACUCAGAGGACUGUAUAUUCCAGUUUGAUGUUGGGUGGAGGAGCAUUAGCCCAGAUUUGGGUCUUAUUCUUUGGCUGAGCCCAUAACUAAUUAGCCAGGAAGGGCCUUAAUUAAAGUGGUUUGAGUUUGACCAUUUCAAAGGCCAACGAGCCUGGUAUAAGGUGUCUAAGACAGUAAAUAGUGCAUCUCAAAUCAACGUGCCACCCGUUUCCUGACAGUUUACCUACUUGUAAGAUAUUCUACCAGGGAAAGGAAUCAAAACUGCUGAAUAAAACAUGAAGUUUAGAGUAAUUUGUGGAUUUCUACUGUUUGUAUUAAUACUGUCUUGAUUCCCUGUGAGUAGAGGUGCUCAAGACUUGACUAGCUCUAAUUUGAAAAAUGUUUGUGGGUAGGCUUUAUGUGGCUGUGAAAAAAUUUAGUUGGUUUAGUAUGGAGCCACGUCCCCUGGAGUGACAUCAAUAUAUAGUUGACGUGAUGGUAAAAUAAUGUAGUUCCUUGAAAAAGGUCAGGUAACUAAAUCAUGCUGAGUCAUAGAGUCAUCCACCAGAGACAGCAAGGGAAGAAAUUAGGAGGCAGAAAAUUCUCUCUCUCUGGAUCUGUCUCUUCUCUCCUUCCUUUUCCCCCUUCUCCCUCUCUCUCUCUCUCUCUCUCUCUCUCUCUCUCUCUCUCUCUCUCUCUCUCUCUCUCUCUCUCUCUCUCUCUCUCUCUCUCUCUCCUCUUAUCUCCCCCUUUCUUUGCCUCUCCCUCUCUCUGCCUCUCCCUCUCUCUUCCUCUUUACCCUUCUUUUCAUGAAUUUGUGGUCUUUUUAGAUAACAAAAGCAAACUUCUGGCCAGCUUAGUGUAGUAGGAGGGCAGUAGAUUUGGAAUUGGAAAGCCUACUUUCACGCCUCAGUUAUACUGCUCAUCCCUGUUCUCCUGGCCAGUCAUUUCCCUCUCUCAGAAUCUCCAUUUCCUUCCCUGUAAAAUGAUUUCUCUUUCCAGAUCUCAAACCCAACAAUUCUAGUUUGAGAAUCCUAAGAGCAUAGGUAGAUUUUGAGCUUUCAUUUUUCAGAAGAGGAAACUCUGGGGUUCAGAGGGACAGUGGGAAUUUCCCAGUGUUACACUGGUAGAAAAUGACAGAGCUGGGAACUGAGCGCAGGUCUUCUGACUCUUGGUCCUACUGUUCUUUCCACUGCAUCAAGACCAGAAGAAUCUUCUAGGCACAUGCCCUUCUUGAGCAUUAGCAGAAUGACAUUGUUCUGAUAAGACAGCAGGAUGCCAACUAUAUGGUGGCUCAAACUGGUGGACUUAUAGUGCCAAGAGUGUUGAUUACUAGUUGAUUUCAUUACUAGUUGAAUUUCAUUACUGGUAAGAAUGUAUUUGAAAGUUUUUAUUUUUGGUUCAUUUGCUAUGAUGUGGUCUGUAUAUGAUUUCUUGUAAUGUAUAUAGCAUAUCGUAUAUAUUACUCGUAUAUGAUUACCCUAAAUCACAGUUUCUUAGCCUUUGUUGUAUACUGGAUCUCUUUGGCAGUCUGCUGUAGCCUAGGGACCCCUGGUCAGAAUUAGGUUUUUGAAUGCAUACAAUAAAAUGCAUAGUAUUACAAAGGAAUCCAAUCGUACUGAAAUACAGCUAUUAAAAUAUUUCGAAAACAAAUUUACUGACACCAGGUUAAGAACUCUUGCUCUAAAUAAAUAUUUUUUCAGAGAAAGAUACCACUCAGGAAUAGCAUGGUAGAGAGGUUUAUUCCUGCCCUUCUUGGUCAUUUUUCUUCUUUUUUCCAAACCACCCAAGGUUAUUUGUUGCUAAGCCAUCAUCUUUUAUUAAUCAGAGUAGAAACCACAUGACUAGAGGUCAAGGAGAAGUGCUAGGAGUUAGUAGACAGCCCUCUAAACCUCUAAAACAUAAACUGUGAUGGGAACAGCACAAUGGUGACUGGUAUAAUACACUAUAUUAUAUACUUUCAGAUGAGCCCGUUCUUAGUUCAGUACUUGCUUUGUGACCAUGUUCUAGUCAAUGCAUUUUGGCUAAGAGUCUCUUGUUUUUACCUGGGUUCUUAGAAAAACAGGGAGUUUGGGCCCUUUUGAAUGGCUAUUUGGCUGAAGCAGUUGUGUCUGAGGCCUACCGGUCCCAUAGUCCUUGAAAGAGCCAAAGUCUGCACUUUAUUGAUUAUGAGAAGGAAGACAGUUCUCACUAGGAGCACUGGCUAGACUUCUUUACCCUUUAGGCCUAUGGGGCCUGAGGCCUGGAAGUGCCUAAAAACAUCCUGAGGUCUGUUCCUCUUUGUCUAGAUCACAGUAGAAGGUUUCCUGGAGGGAAGGAGGAGGACUAGGGCACCCAUCUCCCCCUGGAUGGCCUUUAUUGUAAUCUACUGAAGGCUAAAACAACUGCAGGAAGAGGGAUAAGGAGCAGCCUUACAGUUUUUCUGCCUCUGUUCCCUCUGUCAGAAACCAGAGGUGUGCUACGUGAAAAUCUCUCCCAAGUUAGCACAGUCAAAUGCACAUUGAAUCACAUCCAAUGGACUUUGUUUUUUCAAAAAUCCAACUAACCCAGCUAUUUCACUCUAUUAAUAUGUUUAAUCUGCCCUCAUCCUAAUGCAUUGGGAGGGUAAUGACUUCAUAUUAAUGUCUAGCCACUUGUAAAUUGAGGAAAGUGUCCUAGUAAGUCAGCUUCUACCUUUGGAUUGUUUGAUUAUAGUGAUAACUAAGGGCAUAAUAAAUAAUUUAUGACUCUUGCCUAUUUGAGGGGCAGGGUGGUACACAAGUGUCUAGAGGACCUUCCUUGGAGUCAGGAGGAUCAGGGUUUAAGGCUCACUCUUCAGUCAUACUGGCUGUGUGACCUUGUACAAGCUGCGUGGCCACACACUGUUCUGGGCCAUUCUCCAAGAUGGUGCCUCACAGAUGAGAUGCUGCAUCAGUAAAAUCGCCACCCUUAAAUCUAUCUGUGAUUUUACAGGAACUACCUUCCUUUAUCUCCAAACAACUAACAACAAUAGCGAUAGCAAACUUCCCCAAAACAAAACUCUACCCCAGAAAACUUACUUUCUGGAGAUAGAAAAUAGAUUAAGACUUGAUUAUUUCAGUUGCUAUCUCUGGAUUUCAAUUUUCUUAUCUCUAAAAUGUAGAGUCAGAUUGGUUAUCUAAGGUCUAAGAUUUUUUAAAGGCAAAUUGUAACCUUUAGUGUGAUAAGCAGUGUGGAACAGUAGAAAGUACAUUGGUUCUGAAGUCAGAGGACCCAAUUUAAAUUUGGAUUCUGAUACUACCUGGGCCUUAGUUUCUUCAUCUGUAAAAAGAGGAGGUUGAACUAGAUGGUCUCUGAGUUCCUUUCAUCCAUUAAAUCUAUGAUCGCUGUCACAGUUUGUAGUGAACUUAUUUGUUUAAGAUGUUCAUAUACAUAUUAAAUCCCUUUAACAAUAUUCUGAUAGAAUAAAAAGGCCCUGAGCUAUGUAGGCCUUCCAGGCUGCUGUACUGGCACCAAGGUGCAAUGGAGCAUAGUUGGACCAAAGCCUCUGGUGGAUUCCUUUAAAAAGAGAUUUGAUUGAUAUCUUUUGUUUUUAUGUCUCCUAGGUCUCUGUCUCCCCCUGCCCUGCCCCAUCCUUUCUAACAAAGAAUUUUUUCAAAAAGGAAAAAACAGGGGAAAUAUCAGCAAAACUCAUGGGUACCCUGAAAAAAUCUGACAUAUUCAGUAUUGCACAACCAUAGACACCCUCCCCUCCACCCCCUAACCCCCUCCCAACCUCCUCAAAAGGCAGGGCAGGAGUGUCCUCUCAUGUCUCAUCUUUGCCAGCCAAGCUUGCUCUUUAUAAUUUUGCCUCGUUCAUUGUCAAAUAUUUUAGGGCAGUGGUUCUUUCAUCAUUGUCAUCAUCUUGUGUAUUAUUUUCCUGGCUCUGUUCAUAUCACUUUGCAUCAAUCUAUUCAAGUCUUUCUUUGUGUUUUGGUGAUGAUCAUGUCCUUUAUUUUUUAGAGCUCAGUGAUAUUCCUUUCCAUUCUUCUCCGGUUUGUUUAGCCGGUUCUUUUUGGAUGGUUACUUUCGAGCUACAGUUAUGUGCAGUGCCUGAAGUGAGCCAGUCUAGAGUGGUUUCAUGUUGGUCUGGAAAGUAGGAUUGGAUCCUUCUUUUCUUUUUGUUUUUUAAGCUGGCUGAGUAGCAAGAAAAGACUCUCAGCUUCUUUUCUUACCAGUAGUCCAGUUCCUAUUUGUUAUGGAACUAUAGGAAAGGAUGUUUGACUUAAAUCCAAAGGUUUUACAUGUUGCAAAAUCUAAUUUUGUUAGGGGUCCUAAAGCAUUUGCUCAGGCAUGUUUGGCCUUCUUUUUUAAAGAAUAUCAGCCAGGAAAUUGGAGGUUGUCACAGCACAGGAGAUAAUCUAUACCAAGUGCUUAGGAAAACUUAAAAAUGACUUUAUAACUGUCAAUGGCCACUGUCAUUGUUACAAGCUUUUGGAUACUUGGGAAAAUGCGGUCAUUAUUUGCUACUUACCUGGGGUCCACAGAGAGAUUUCAUGUCUGUGAAUGUGGAUAGAAAAACAAACGACAUCUUUAUUUUCCCAGACUUCUUACUGAAAUUGAAUGUUUCCUUCAAUUAUUUCAAAAUAUUAUUUUGAGAAGGGAAAAUGUUCUGAGGAGAGAGCCUAUGGGUUUCACCAGGCAGCUUAAGGGAUUCAUGGCAAAAAAGUCAAGAACCCCUGCUUGAAAGUGUACACGUUACACACAUACACAUUCUCUAAAACUAUCCAAGGUUCCAUAAGAAAAGGAAAUCAUUUUCUAUUUUGGUGGGGUAUAGGCCUGACAUUGGGGUCACUGAGUCAAAGGUUAUGCACAAUUGAAUGACUUUGGGGGCAAAGAUGUAAAGUACUUUCCAGAAUUGAUGAGCCACUUCACAACACCACCAACCAUGUAUUAGUGUGCCCAUCCCACAGCAUCCUCCCUCCUCCAAAUUGUGUUUUUAUUGAUCUUUUUUCACCUUACUAAAGUACCAUGUGAGGUAAUAAUUGUGCUAGAAGAACUAAAUUCUCAUCAGAUCCUCAGCUUAUCUGCAGGGGUCUAAACUUUCCAUGCAAAUGAUGGAGUUUCCUGCCCCCUCCCCCAAGUCACACAACUCUCUGAUUGCGAUUUAAGCAGCUCUUCUCCCCUAAUUCUUUUCCUCUAGCCCUUAUGAUCAAAGGAAUUUAAAACUUAAAUAGGAAAUCAUGAACUUUGGGACGAAAAGAAAACAAAUCUCAGACCUCUUCAAUCACUUCCAAAUCAUCUCCCUUUCAUUCACUAAGCAGUCAUUUUCUGGAGAAAUGAUUGAAGGAAGAGAGGACUUUUAGGAAAUGUAGAUUCAAAUUGCUUUUGUCGUUUUAGUAAAAGUGGCUUGAGAUAAAUGAAGGUUGUUAAAUGUGUUGAUGGAGUAUGCUUACUAUUUGCCCAAUUCCUCCUUCCCCCUCCCCACCCCCUUUUUUAGUAUGGGGAAUCAAUUUCAAGGGUCUGAUUAAUUGGUACCUUGUAGAUGGGUUGCCAGAGUGGCUGUGACUGAAAAAUUCAUCAGCCUGAGACCACCCUGAUUGGAUUCCUUUCUAAACUUAAUUUAGACUAGUCCUUAGGUGACAAAGGCCACCAUCAGGCCCAUCCCCAAAUCCUUGUAUUCCCAUAGCAUAAAUUUCAAAAUUGUGCUCCAUAAUGACCAAAUGAGGGAACUGAGAAAGCUUGCCCUGGAGAAGAGAAGAUUUGAGAGGAAAGGGGACAUGAUGUCCAAAGUUUCAGAUAUUUGAAGGACGGAUGUAUGAAAGAGGUUCAAUUUGUUUUGUGUGAUUUCAGAGACCAGAACAAAGACAAGCAGAUAAAAGUUACAGGGAGGUAGACUGCCUUAGGAAGUACUGAACUCUCUGUCCCUGGAGAUUUUCAAACCGAGAUUGGAAGAACACUUUUUUAGGAACAGUUAUCUAUAUUAUCUAGGGGCUAUCUGACCUUCAGAUGUCAGGACAUCCUGUGUUCUUGAGAGAGCGGGAGACCGGUUGUGGGGGGAUGAGUUUGGACUGGUGCAGAACUAAACUACACAUUUGCCACUGUCACUUUUUUUUUGAUCCUCCAUCAUUCCUUCAGCCUCCUAAGCUACUAUUGACACCAACCCUAAAGCACACUUCAUUGUGUUCCUAAAUGCCUUUAGGAAUCUCAGACAUCUGUUUCCCAUAAGCUUGGUGGCCACUUUUCCCUUCCCAUCAGACCCUUCAUAGUUACUUAUGCUUCUGAUGAUAACUUCUUUUCCAAUUCUGCUAUAUUUCUAGGUAAGAAAGGGGGAGCAAGAACUCUGUCCCAACUUUUGGUUGGGGAAACUGACAAAAUGCAAAUUGACUUUAUCUGCUUACAUUAUAGAAGACUGCAGUUCUGCUUACUGUUCAAACAUGCCAUUACAGCACUGUUUAAGUAGCAAAGAGGUGCUAUCUUUUCAACCCCUAUAAUCCUCCAGGUUGCACUGCCCUAGGGAACUGACACGAGCUUUUAGGUACUUGGGGAAACGUGGUCAUUAUUAGCUAAAAAUGGAUUAAACCGAAAAAUGACAGGCCCCGACUUUCAGAGUAAAUUGUACAGUACGUGUCUCUAAAGAUACAUAGGAUGCUUUUGACAUCAAUUGACCAUACUUCCAUUAAGCUACCCAAUUCUGUAUAAUUUGUACUGAAAUUUUAAAGGUUAUUUCGCAUAAGUAGACAAAAUGAAAUAUUUUUUAACCGGAACAUUUUUUUUUGUCAAACACAUAUAUGCAAUCAGGACCAAUGGGGAGCUGUGUGACCUCAAGUCCAUACUUGCUAUUUACAUAAUUUUGAAAAGUACAAAGUUGAGGUGCAUUAUUUAAAGGAAAACAUUUAGAUGACAAAGUUCUAUGGCUGGAUACAACUUGUACAGAACUUUGCUUGAUUUUUAGCUUUUCCCAAAGAUAACAUUCAGUAUGAUUUUUAACUUACUGUACAGCCUAAAAAUUGGUUAUAAAAAUGUAUAUAUUAUUAUAUUAUUUUAGAUGUAUAGUAGAUGUCAUAAAUAUAUUUUUCCAAUUACACAUAAAAUAAUUUUUAAUGUUUGUUGUUAAAAAUUUCAAGUUUUAAGUUCUCCCCUUCUUUCACUGUUCUCCCCCCUCCCAGAGACAACAAGCAGUUUGAUAUAGGUUAUGCAAAGUUAUGCAAAGUCUAUUUUCAUAUUAGUUAUUUAGUAAAAGAAAACACAGACAAAAACUCCCCCAAAAUAAAGUAAAAAAUAGUAUGCUUUCAUCUGCAGUUCAACUCUAUCAAUUCUUUCUUGGAGGGGGAGUGGAUAACAUUCAUCAUAAGUCCUUUGGAAUUUUCCUGGAUCAUUGUAUAGCUGACAGUUGCUAAGUCAUUCAAAGUUAUCAGCAGAUAAUAUUUGCUGUUAUUGUGUUCAAUGUUCUCCUGGUUCACUUCACUCUGCAUCAGCUCAUAUGUAGGUCUUUCCAGCUUGUUCUGAAAUCAUCUUGCUUAUCAUUUCUUAUAGCACAAUUGUAUUCCGUCCCCAUCAUACACCACAGGUUGUUCAACCAAUUCCCAACUGGUCCCUCAAUUUCUAAUUCUUUGCCACCACAAAAAGAGCUACCAUAAAUAUCUUUGUACAUAUAGGUCUUUUUCCUUUAAAAAAUCUCUUUGGGAUCCAGAUCUAGUAAUGAUAUUCUCAGAUCAAAGGGUGUGCACAAUUUUUAGCCGUUUGGGCAUAGUUCCAAAUUGCUCUCAGGCAUGGCUGGAUCAUUCACAAUUCUACCAAUAGUGCAUUAGUACCCCAAUUUUCCCACAUCCCCUCUAAAAUUUAUCAUUUAUCUUUUCUGUCAUUUUAGCCAACCUGAUAAAUAUGAGAUGGUACUUCACAGAGUUGUAAUUUGCAUUUCUCUGAUCAAUAGUGAUUUAGAACAUUUUUUCAUACAGCUAUAGAUAGUUUUGAUUUCUUCAUCUGAAAACUCCCUAUUUAUUCCUUUGACUAUUUAUCAAUUGAGGAAUAGCUUGUACAGAAUUAAUUUUUAUUUUAUUUUUUACCAAUUACAUCUAGUAACAAAUUUCCAUAUAAGUCUUCCAAAGCUAUUAUGAUCCAAAUUGUAUCCCUCCUUCCUUCCCUCCCUGAUCUCGGAGCUAGCAAGGAAUUCAAUCUGAGUUAUACAUGUACUAUCAUACAAAACAUAUUUCCAUCCUCUUCAUUGUUGUAAGUGAGUAAUCUUAUAAAACCCAACCCCUCAAAUAAAAAUCCAAAUAAAGUGAAAUAUCAUAUGCUUCGAUAUGCAUCUCAACUCCAACAGUCUUUCCUCUACAGGUGGAUAACUUUCUUUGUCAUAAGUCCUUCAGAAUUGUCCUGGAUUAUCAUAUUGCUGAGAGUAACUAAGUCCAUCACAUUUGAUCAUUCCACAGUGUAGCUGUUCCCGUGUACAAUGUUCUCCUGGUUCAGUUUAUUUUACUCUGCAUCAGUUCAUGGAGGUCUUUCCAACUCUUUCUGAAAUCAUCUUGCUCAUCAUUCCUUACAGCAUAAUAGUCAGAAUUAAUAUUUUAAUGAAAAUUACUUUCCUCAUGAUUUUAUAUUCAUUAGUAAUGACUUAAUAAUGUUUUUUCAAGGCUCUUUUGUGGGUUUGAGUGCUACCUCCAGUGAUACAGAUUAUAAUCUCUUCACCCUUAGAAUAGUGUCUCCAUAAUAGAAGACACCUAAAAAAUGUUUGUUGGCUUAUAAACAAUUGUCUGAAUAAGAUUCUUGUAGUAUCAUCUCACAAGGUCUUUGUGAGCCUUAAUUAACAUAAUGUAUAUGAGGGCGUUUGCAAACUUUAAUAUAAAGCCCUAAAUAAGUGCGGGUAAGCAUUAUUCAUUAGGUCUCAUGGCUGAAAAAAUUCCCAGAAUCACAGAAAGGAAGAAACUAAAGGGCCAUCUAGUUUAUCCCCUUUAUAAUAUGUUUGACAGGUGGAAUCCAACCUGUUCUUUUUAAAAAAAAUUUUUUAAACCCUUACUUUCUAUCUUAGAAUCAAUACUGGGUAUUGGUUCUAAGGCAGAAGUGUGAUCAGGGCUGUGAAAUGGGAGUGAAGGGACUUGCCCAGAGUCACACAGCUAGGAAGUGUCUGAGUUCAGAUUGGAACCCAGGACCUCUCAUCUCUGGGCCUGACUCUCAAUCCACUUAGCCACCUGGCUCCCCCCACCCCAACCUGUUUUUGAAGACCUCAAGUAAGGGAAAAUCAAGUGUCUCCUAAAGCAGUCCAUUCCCAUUUGUCUCUACAAUUUCCACUUGGCCCUCUGGGACCAAGAAUGAGUUAAAUCCCUCUUCCACAUAUUAUUUCUUGGAAGAUAGCUCUCACUUGCUCCCUUAAAUCUUCUCUUCUUCCAAGCUAAAUGUUCCCAGUUCCUUCACUCAAUCCUCCUAUGGCCUAGACCAAUGAUGGUGAACCUUUUAGAGGUGGAGUGGCAGGCCCUGCCCCCACCCCACUCCCAGACCAAGUGCUAUGCCCACCCCCCACACAGGGGAGGGAGAAAGCACUCCAGCUGAAGUGCUGGGCAGAGGAGUGGGUAAAGUGAGGAAUGUCCUCAGUGAGUGUAGAGAGGGGGAGAGGAGUGGCCCGAGUGCUCUACUUUCUUCCAGCUCUGCCCUCUGUGAGUUGCCCUCCUUACCCCCUAUGCACUCCCAUUGGCUGCUGGACAGAGGGGUGGGGGAUGUGAAAAAAUGUCACCAGGAAUGGUGGAGAGGGGCAGAGGAGUAGCUCUGUCCAAGGCCCUCUGCUUUUCCAGUAAUGAACUCUGGGGGUGGAGGGGGCAACUGUGUGCCCACAGAGUGCUGUGUACCAUCUUUGGCACCCAUGCCAUAGGUUCACCAUCACUGGCCUAGAUCUUCACUGUCCUUUUCUUCUCUCUAAAGACUCAGUUUCUCAGUGCCUUCCCCUAAAAUAUGAUUCCUGUUGCCAGUCUCAGGUUGAUGAGUUCUCUCCAAACUUUGGUAGACUGGUCCCCAAAUAGCAUGCAGCCUUUGUUAGUGAAGCCUUUGCAAAAAAAAGGGAUUGUAUAUAGAAAUGGGAUUCACACAUCUCUGAGAUACCAGCUCACACUGAUGAAGUUGGCGAUUGCUUUGAAGUGGUUUUGCUUGAUUGUUUUGAGGGGAAUAUCAUUUGGUUGUGGGAGGAGGGAUUCUUUGACAAUGAUUUGAGGACUGUCACAUCAGAACAAAAUGUAUAAAGGAAAGAGAUUUUUCAGUAUGCAUUUAUCAUAGAAAUGCUUCACUUGUAUUUCUUCAUUACAUAAGAGAAAUAAUUUAGAAAACAGUUAGUUGGAUUAAUUUUAUACUGGAUCUUUCCUGGAAACUUUCUGAGAGAAGAUAAAUCAAGAGUCAUAUCACAUUGGAGGGUGCGGGGAGGUUUUGAUCUGUAGCACUGAAAUAAGGGAGUCCCCACAUGGCAAGAGUGGUGGAGUACAUUACAUUUCUAAAAGCAUCCAGACAAAAUGAAACAAAUAAUACACUGUUUUAUUUAUCUAACAAAUAGUAGGCAUUCACUAACUAUUAGUCAAAUUUUGUCCUGGCUCCCAGGAGAUAGAGAGCAGAGUGGGAGGGGUGGUCAGGAGACCCAAAGCCUUGUCUUGCCUUGCCUCUGCCACAAACCAGUUCUGUGACCUUGGGCCAAACACUCCUUCUCUGGCCUUCAGACUCCUUAACUGUAAAAUGCAACAAUUGAAUUAUAUGAUUUCCAAGGUUUCUUUCAGCUCGUUAUCUACUCUACCAAGCAUUUGUGAAGCUCCCAUUGUGAGUGAGGUACUGUGGAUACCAAGAUAUUGGGAAAACCAGGGCCUGCUUCUUGGGGCCUUCCUUUCCUCUGCCCUAACGUGCUGCCAUUCACUUCAAGAAGCUUUCCAAAUAGGAAGGCAAUAUAGGGUAUACUGGAAAUAUCAGUGUACCAGGAAUUAAGAGACCUAGCUUUGCAUCCUGCUGUGGCUAUACUUAGCUCUCUGGCCUUGGACAAGUCAGCUAGCCUCUCUGGGUCUAUUUCUUCAUCUGAAAAAGUAUUUCUAAGUUUUCUUCCAAUUGUAAGAUGCUGUGAAUUCUAAUCGGUAAGGGGUAUACUCUAUAGUUAAGCAGUGGGAUGAUCCUGGAAAUGGAAACCAAGGCAGGCAGAUGUUAUCUGUUGAUCCUCCUUAACAAAGUCACACAGGUGGCUGGAAGUGGCUGGACUCGGGGUCAGGAAGAUCUGAGACUGAACCCAGCAUAGAAUCUGAUCCCUGGCAAGUCACUUAACCCAUCUCAGCCUCCCUUUCCUGAUCUGUAAAAUGAGAAUAAUCUUAGCACCUACCCUCAUAGUGUUGUUGUGAGAAUCAAGUGAGAUAACAGAUGUAGAGUGCUUUGUAAACUUUUAAGUACUAUGUAGAUGGCAGCUAUUAUCAUUAUUGCCAGGCAUAAUGUGUUAAAUUCUGUUAGAGAGGUAUUUGUGGGAGGAAGAUUUUGACAAACAAUCAGGGAACGCAUAGGCAUCCAGGAGGAGGGAGCAGCAUGAACAAAGACAUAGAAGCAGGAGAAUAUGCUUCUUCAUAGCUUUUUGGAAGCAAGUGUGGGAUAUCAAGCUUCAAAACCUGAAUAAAAAGUAACCCUCUACAUUCAUGCAUGCUCAUUAAAUGCCUGACAAACCGCAGUGUUGUCAAGUCAUUGAGAUUUGGAGACAGGUUCUAGGGUAGUUUUAGCCUUGAACUUGCUGGCCAUUGUUGUGAUGUUUCCUAUGAUCUUCAUAUUCUUGUUUAUUUUGAAAAUUGGGGGUUUUUUGAAUUCUUGGCUCUUUUCUGUUGUCUUCACUGUUGGUAGCAACCAUUUUCCACUAGAUGGCAACAUCACCCAUAACUCCCCAAGUAGAGGCUACAUAAUAAUAAUAGCUAGAAUUAUGGAGUACUUUAAAGUUUUUUGAAACACUAUUCCUAUAUUAUCUGGUUUGAUCCUCCCAGAAACCCUGAGGUAGGUGUUGUUAUUACCCCUGUCUUACAGUUGGAAAAACUGAGGAAGGCAGAUGUUAGUUGCUGACCCUCCUAGCAGAGCCACACAAAUGGUUUUCAGUGACUGAGGCAAGACUAAAUCUCAGGCCUUCCAGACUCCAAAUCUGGCAUUCCCCUCCCCACGCUCCCCAUUGUACCUAGCUGUCAUGUAUAAGAUCAGGAAUGAUUUGGGGGAUGAAAGAAUGAAGAUCCAAAAGGCACCUUUGAGAUCUUUUAGUGCAAAGCUUCUUAACCCUUGGGAAUAUGUAAAUGGAUUUCAGGAGGUUCAGGAACUUAAGUGGGAAAAAAAUGACAUUUUUUAUUUUCACUAACUUCUAACUAGAACUUUAUAUUCCUUUCAAUUAUUUACAAACAUUAUUCUGGGCAUGGCUCCAUAGACUUCACCAGACUGCUUAGGGGGUUUACAACAAAAAGGCUUUACAACCUCUGAUCUAAUCACUAGAUUAUUGUCGAUUCCCUCUCAUUUUACAGAUAAGGAACCUGAGGACCAGGGAGAAGUGCCUUCAAGUCUCCAGCUCCCUAGUGGAUAUCUGGAACUAGAUGUCUCACAAAUAUUUCAAACUUAAAAUAUCCAAAACUGAAUUCGAAAUCUUCCUGAACUCCCCUUCCAGGAUUCAUUCCACUACCUCAGGUUCCUAAUGGUUCAUGGGAUUUGAGGGGAUCUGGAGCUGGUCUGGGUCAACUGCCAUGGUGAGUGAUAGGCUCCCAGAGCAGUUGGUAUCAGCCUAAAGAAAUGGGAUUCAGAAGAAGAGAACCCUCUUCCUCUUCCUCAGGAACUCAGCAAGUUGGACUUUGUUCAGCUUGGUGAAUCUGGCUCCCUCUCAGUCACUAUGGAAACUGGGGACUCAAGGAUUCCUAAGAAUAGUUGAGCCUCAGUGAUCUCUGGAUACACAGUCUCUUUCCUUGGGAGCUGGGCUUUGUUUCCACAGUCCCAGUCUCAUUUCUGUGUUUAAUUUCAUCUGUGGAGCCUCCUUUCUUGGACAUCGUUGUUUUGUUGAAUUGUGUCUGACUCUUUGUGACUCCUUGGAGCAUAUUGUCCUUUUCUUGGCAAAGACACUGGAGUAGUUUGCCACUUCCUUCUUCAAUAGAUUAAGGCAAACAGAGGUUAAGUGAUUUGCUCAGGAUGAUAGAGCUCCCAAGUGUCUGAGGCCAGAUUUGAACUUAGGUCUUAUUGACUCCUGGCCUAGCGCUCUGUCUGCUGCGCCACCUAGCUGCCUCCCUUUCUUUGCUAGUAUCAUAUAAUUCCUUUUGAGCUCAGUGGUUUUCUUACUCAUGGAGACUAUAAAACUAAAAAGGAUUUGACUUCAUAGAACAUUCUGGGAGAAGACUGGCUGCUACAUUCUCCCGAAUCUCACAUUUCUUUGCUUCCUUUUUGCCUUCCCAGGUUCCUCUCGUGGCAAAAGCCCCCGAUUGCACUUAAAAUAGAGAAAAACAAACUCCAACAAUUCAGAGACCAGCAACUUUCCUGGAUGAGUAACUCUGACAUCUACGAAGUGCGUGUUAAUUAUUCAACCGAUUCAUUCCAACCAUCUUGAUGAAAACAUCCUCUGCUCUUCAGAAAUUGGCCAGUCUCUAGCGCGCCUCUGUUUGGCUUCCAGAAUAAAUGCCUAGAUGUCAUGCAACUCAGCCUUUUCGUGGAGAACUCAAAAGGAACUCUGAUGUGGGACUAAUUGUUGCAGAGAUACAGGUCCAAGGUCCAUCUGCAAGGCCUGAUGUGACCAUGAAUCUUCCCAUAGGAUAUUAACAUCUGGAAUACAACCCUGCUUUUCCUUCUUCCCAAACCGCUGUUCUUUGGGCUUCUUUCAUUGCUUGGCGGCCCAAUGAGCCUGUCUGUCUCAGGACUGCCCCAGGAGAUAUAUGUCAAAAAAGAUUUCCUCAGGAAGAAGGAGCAGCUUCCAGUCUCCUGGAGUGGGCAACUAGCCGAGACAACCAGGUGGUUGUUUGCAGGCCCCUUGGUGAUGCUGCUGAUCUGGAGAUGUGAGCAAAUAUAGGACUCGGUACACAUAUUUGAGUGUCUUCUUGGAGGUAAGAGAUGAGCAUGAGUGAAACCCAAGAAAGAGGUGAGUCAUCUCAGGUCAUUGUUUUAGGACUGGAGCAUCUGCUUCUGAAAGGUGCUGGUGUCCAUUCUUGGCCAGGAGUACCGUUCUGAGAGUUGAGAGAGGAGUAGGCUUGGAGAAGGGGGCAAGUCACACCCCUUCCCAGCAUCUCCUAGGUCAAACUAUCCCACUGUGAUUUCAUUAUUUCUCCACAAUUGUUGGGAAUUUCCAGAAACCAAAGGACUUUAUGUUUAAAUCCUGAUAGGCUCUGUUGAUUCCAUCAGUUACAAACCCUCUCCACCAACCUAGAUCAAUAACUUGCCAAUAACUUAGUAGAGAAGUCUUGGGCCUGAGAGGUAAAGUGACAAUCCUCAGAGUUCCCCAAGCUAGUGUGAGGCAAAGGGAAGCAUGGACCUCAAGUAUUCUUGACUUCAAGUCCAGCACUUCAAGCCUCCAAGCAAUGCCACUACUAUAGAAACAGAGUAAUACCUUUCAAAUGGAAAGAGUAAUGAUUCCCCCAUUAUUCACCGAUUUGAUUUAUUCAUUCUAUUUCUCUUAGUGCAAAUGCCUAAGAGCUGCCUGCCCUAGUCAAUGUGGCCUACGGCUAAAGUAGUCCCCAGUGUUGUUACCUCUUGGUUUGAGCAGAGCACUAAACAAACCCUUGGUCAUUCAGUCAACAAGUUUUUAUUAAGUAGCAGGUACUGUGCUCAGCCUGGGAGAGUCAAAGGAAGAGGAAAUAUACUGGAUUCCUGCCCUGGGGGAGCUCAUAUUUUAAUGGGGGGAUACAGCAAAUAGAUGGAGUAGAUGGGAGGCAAUCUCAGAGCCAGCACAAGGCCCUCAUCUAGUGCAAAACCUUUAUUUUACAUUUGGGGAAAUGGAGGCUCAAGAAGAUAAUUCAACUUCUCUGUGUUCACAUAGCUAGUUAUUAAAAGACAAAGAGCCAGCUCUCCUGAUUAUAAGCCUCUGGCUCCUUUCGACUAUCUCAUAUAACAUCUUCAUCAGCAUUAGCAUUUUACUACCACUUUGACACAUGAGAUACUGAACAUCAAGAGAGGAUGAUCACAGCUUUGAAAUCAGUUCCCCAGAAUGCUAGACCUUGUACCAGUGACAGACUGAGCUUCACUAUUUUUUUUUAUCUUGAACAUCCAUAGCAGAACUUGCCAAAGAGGGACCUGGACCAAAUCCAAAUGUGGAAGCAGGCCAUAUGAACCACUGGUUAGAUCACCUAUAUUUGAUGAGCAAUGAAAUUCUAUACUGCCUGCUCCUUCAAGUUUUCCUAGUUGUUGACCUAGAAUUCCUUGCUCUCCUGGCCUUUGGGCACUCUUAGAGAGAUGUGAACCGUCAUCCCUAGGUAAGCCUCACCAUCUCAUUUCUCUGCUUCUUCUGCAGGACUGCUGACCAUUCAAGAAGAAAGGAAAAAGAUUAAGCUGAUUUUGCCCUGUAUAAAUUCCUGCUAUCACAGCAUCAUCUGGACCCAGCCCUUGUUGCUACUUUACAGUCUCCUUGUGCUCUGCUAGCCAAUUUCUAUCUCAUUUGCCAUAAUCUCUCUGUUAAGCCUUUUCCUUCUCUCAUUUCUCCCAGUUCACUGCCAAUCUAGUGCAGCAACAAUAAGAAGAGGGACUGGAUCUGGGAAUUCAUUGAUGUAAGGAGCUCCUGAGUGAGGAGACUGCUGCCUUUUUUGCAAUUUAGACUCUUCAGAGAAUCGUCUAGAACACUGAGAGAUUAAGUGACUUGUCCAAGGUCAUAUGGUCAAUCUGUGUUCCAAGGCCAUUUCUCUCUUCACAUCAUCUAUCUAGGAAUCCUAUGAUCAAAGGAAAGGAGGUUAGUCUGGCAUGACCUGUUCUUGAUGAAGUCAUUGCUUUCUUGUCUAGCUGUUGACUUCAAAUUGCUUUAAUAAUAGGUUCUGGAAUUUUGUCAGGAAUCCAAGUCAGAUUCACUGGUCUUUAGCUUGCAGUUUCUGAUCUCUUUGCUUUUCUUACAAAUUGGGGAAAACUUGCUUUUUUUUUCAGCCUUGUAGCUGUUCUUCAUGAGUGGCUCAGUAUUCACAUCUGCCAUUCCUUUCACUACCUUAGGAUGUAGUUUCUCUAGCCUUGGAGACUCACAUUCAUUAAGGACUCCUGGGGAGUCUUUUAUUAUUUCCCUACUUUUCUUGGCAUAAAACUCCUUCUUCAUCUUUUUUGUUAUGUCCUUGUGCUCAAAAGAUCAUUCUUCUCAGAGGAGACAGGAAUUAAAAAAUGAGUUGAGCGACUCUGACUUCCCUCCAUUGUCCAGUGUAGUCCACCUCAACCUGCAGUCCUACCCUGGCUUUGAUCUCGUCUUUUCCCUAAUGUAGCUAAAUCUUACCCCAAAUGACUACUUUUAUUGGAUAUAGUAUUCCUUUCUGGGUUUAGCUUAUUCUGAGCUUUAGCACUCCAGACACUGUUCUUACCAGACUAUGCCACACAUUUGUAUUCAUCCACUUCUCUACCUUUGUUAGCAUUUUCUCUAUUUGAAUGUGUGUAUUGCUCAUGUACGUCUUUUGUAUUUCCACACGAGUCAUCCAAAAUGAGGCAUUUCCACUGAAUCCCAAAGUUCCUUGACUUUUGACUUGCCACUGGACUUCGAUGACUCUGAAAGAGAGAAUGAGACUGACGACUUUGUGUAACUCUACCUCACUUAAAAUCCAAAGUCAGAAGAUGUCACCAGUGAUUUCUUUUAGGAUUUCUUCAAGUACAAAGGAUAGCAGUCAAUGGACCAAUAUCUAUAUCUAUCCUAUCCUAUCCCAUCCUGUCUAUCUGUCCAUUCAUCUCUCUCUCUCUCUCUCUCUCUCUCUCUCUCUCUCUCUCUCUCUCUCUCUCUCUCUCUCUCUCUCU